UACAGAGGGGGCAAGCGUUGUUCGGAAUUAUUGGGCGUAAAGGGCGCGUAGGCGGCUUGGCAAGUGGAAGGUGAAAUCCCUCGGCUUAACCGAGGAACUGCCCUCCAAACUGCUUCGCUUGAGACCGGGAGAGGUGAGUGGAAUUCCCAGUGUAGCGGUGAAAUGCGUAGAUAUUGGGAGGAACACCAGUGGCGAAGGCGGCUCACUGGACCGGUACUGACGCUGAUGCGCGAAAGCGUGGGGAGCAAACGGG
RNAcentral lists this ribosomal RNA (253 nucleotides) under uncultured bacterium. RNAcentral's name for it is "partial 16S ribosomal RNA". It matches the Rfam family "Bacterial small subunit ribosomal RNA", at positions 524 to 776 of the family's 1533-position model. The record is from RNAcentral.